AGUGGGGAAUAUUGGACAAUGGGGGCAACCCUGAUCCAGCCAUGCCGCGUGUGUGAAGAAGGCCUUUUGGUUGUAAAGCACUUUAAGCAGGGAGGAGAGGCUAAUGGUUAAUACCCAUUAGAUUAGACGUUACCUGCAGAAUAAGCACCGGCUAACUCUGUGCCAGCAGCCGCGGUAAUACAGAGGGUGCGAGCGUUAAUCGGAAUUACUGGGCGUAAAGCGAGUGUAGGUGGCUCAUUAAGUCACAUGUGAAAUCCCCGGGCUUAACCUGGGAACUGCAUGUGAUACUGGUGGUGCUAGAAUAUGUGAGAGGGAAGUAGAAUUCCAGGUGUAGCGGUGAAAUGCGUAGAGAUCUGGAGGAAUACCGAUGGCGAAGGCAGCUUCCUGGCAUAAUAUUGACACUGAGAUUCGAAAGCGUGGGUAGCAAA
RNAcentral lists this ribosomal RNA (428 nucleotides) under uncultured Moraxellaceae bacterium. RNAcentral describes it as "bacterial SSU rRNA". It matches the Rfam family "Bacterial small subunit ribosomal RNA", at positions 353 to 772 of the family's 1533-position model. Lineage: Bacteria; Pseudomonadati; Pseudomonadota; Gammaproteobacteria; Moraxellales; Moraxellaceae. The record is from RNAcentral.